RNAcentral lists this ribosomal RNA (1484 nucleotides) under uncultured bacterium. RNAcentral's name for it is "bacterial SSU rRNA". It matches the Rfam family "Bacterial small subunit ribosomal RNA". The record is from RNAcentral.
AGAGUUUGAUCCUGGCUCAGGAUGAACGCUAGCGGCAGGCUUAAUACAUGCAAGUCGUGGGACAGCACGGUGUAGCAAUACAUGGGUGGCGACCGGCAAACGGGUGCGUAACACGUACGCAACUUACCCAUUACAGGGGGAUAGCCCAGGGAAACUUGGAUUAAUACCCCAUAUUAUAUAGGGCUGGCAUCAGUUUUAUAUCAAAGCUACGGCGGUAAUGGAUGGGCGUGCGGUUGAUUAGAUAGUUGGCGGGGUAACGGCCCACCAAGUCUACGAUCAAUAGCUGAUGUGAGAGCAUGAUCAGCCACACGGGCACUGAGACACGGGCCCGACUCCUACGGGAGGCAGCAGUGAGGAAUAUUGGUCAAUGGACGAAAGUCUGAACCAGCCAUGCCGCGUGAAGGAUGAAGGUCCUCUGGAUUGUAAACUUCUUUUAUAUGGGACGAAAAUGGGCCUUUCUAGGUCAACUGACGGUACCAUAAGAAUAAGCACCGGCUAACUCCGUGCCAGCAGCCGCGGUAAUACGGAGGGUGCAAGCGUUAUCCGGAUUUAUUGGGUUUAAAGGGUCCGUAGGCGGACCUAUAAGUCAGUGGUGAAAUCUUCCGGCUCAACCGGGAAACUGCCAUUGAUACUGUAGGUCUUGAGUAUGUAUGAAGUUGGCGGAAUGUGUGGUGUAGCGGUGAAAUGCUUAGAUAUCACACAGAACACCGAUUGCGAAGGCAGCUGACUAAUACAUAACUGACGCUGAGGGACGAAAGUGUGGGGAUCAAACAGGAUUAGAUACCCUGGUAGUCCUCACCGUAAACGAUGAUCACUAGAUUUUGGUAGCGAUAUCAGAGUCCAAGCGAAAGUGUUAAGUGAUCCACCUGGGGAGUACGUCCGCAAGGAUGAAACUCAAAGGAAUUGACGGGGGCCCGCACAAGCGGUGGAGCAUGUGGUUUAAUUCGAUGAUACGCGAGGAACCUUACCUGGGCUUGAAAGUUAGUGACCGUCCCUGAAAGGGGACUUUCCGCAAGGACACGAAACUAGGUGCUGCAUGGCUGUCGUCAGCUCGUGCCGUGAGGUGUCGGACUAAGUUCCAUAACGAGCGCAACCCCUAUUUCUAGUUGCCAGCGGGUAAUGCCGGGGACUCUAGAGAAACUGCCCGUGUAAGCGGUGAGGAAGGUGGGGAUGACGUCAAGUCAUCACGGCCCUUACGUCCAGGGCGACACACGUGCUACAAUGGUAGGGACAGUGAGUUGCAAGCCAGCAAUGGUGAGCUAAUCUAUAAACCCUAUCUCAGUUCGGAUCGAGGUCUGCAACCCGACCUCGUGAAGCUGGAAUCGCUAGUAAUCGCAUAUCAGCCAUGAUGCGGUGAAUACGUUCCCGGGCCUUGUACACACCGCCCGUCAAGCCAUGGAAGUUGGGAGCGCCUAAAGUCGGUCACCGCAAGGAGCCGCCUAAGGCGAAACCAGUAACUGGGGCUAAGUCGUAACAAGGUAACC